GAUGAAGAACGCAGCGAAAUGCGAUAAGUAAUGUGAAUUGCAGAAUUCAGUGAACCAUCGAAUCUUUGAACGCACAUUGCGCCCGGCAGUAAUCUGCCGGGCAUGCCUGUCCGAGCGUCAUUUCUCCCCUCGAGCGCAGCUUUCCCCCCCGGGGGAGGGCCGCGCCCGGUGUUGGGGCGCUACGGAGGAGCCCAGCGCUCCCCCGUAGGCCCCGAAAUGUAGUGGCGGUCCCGCCGCGGCGCCCCCUGCGUAGUAGUUUUACAACUCGCAUCGGGUCCCGGCGGAGGCCAGCCGUCAAACCCCCCAACUUCAAUAGUUUGACCUCGGAUCAGGUAGGGUUAACCGCUGAACUUAAGCAUAUCAAUAAGCGGAGGA
Molecule: unclassified non-coding RNA, 375 nt
Filed under: soil metagenome
Description: partial contains 5.8S ribosomal RNA, internal transcribed spacer 2, and large subunit ribosomal RNA
Rfam family: 5.8S ribosomal RNA (bases 1-120)
Source: RNAcentral